RNAcentral lists this ribosomal RNA (599 nucleotides) under uncultured Cortinarius. RNAcentral describes it as "eukaryotic LSU rRNA". The stretch from base 214 to 367 matches the Rfam family "5.8S ribosomal RNA". The record is from RNAcentral. Lineage: Eukaryota; Fungi; Basidiomycota; Agaricomycetes; Agaricales; Cortinariaceae.
AAGUCGUAACAAGGUUUCCGUAGGUGAACCUGCGGAAGGAUCAUUAUUGAAAUAAACCUGAUGGGUUGUUGCUGGUUCUCUAGGGAGCAUGUGCACACCUUGUCAUCUUUAUAUCUCCACCUGUGCACUUUUUGUAGACCUUUUCAGGUCUAUGUUGCCUCAUUUUACCCCAAUGUAUGUCAAUAGAAUGUUGUGCCUAUAUAUAAUAUAUACAACUUUCAGCAACGGAUCUCUUGGCUCUCGCAUCGAUGAAGAACGCAGCGAAAUGCGAUAAGUAAUGUGAAUUGCAGAAUUCAGUGAAUCAUCGAAUCUUUGAACGCACCUUGCGCUCCUUGGUAUUCCGAGGAGCAUGCCUGUUUGAGUGUCAUUAAUAUAAUCAACCUUCUCUUGUUUUGAGAAUGGUUUGGAUGUGGGGGGUUUGCUGGCCUCUCUCAAAAGGUUCAGCUCCCCUGAAAUGCAUUAGCAGAACAACCUUUGCUCAUUGGUGUGAUAACUAUCUACGCUUAUGAAUAUGAGGGGCAGUUCAGCUUUCUAACGGUCUUUGGACAAUUCAUCAUUAAUGUGACCUCAAAUCAGGUAGGACUACCCGCUGAACUUAA